This 574-nucleotide ribosomal RNA is filed under the name Leptospira borgpetersenii serovar Ballum. RNAcentral's name for it is "partial 23S ribosomal RNA". It matches the Rfam family "Bacterial large subunit ribosomal RNA", at positions 979 to 1556 of the family's 2925-position model. The record is from RNAcentral. Lineage: Bacteria; Pseudomonadati; Spirochaetota; Leptospiria; Leptospirales; Leptospiraceae.
GGGAGACACACGGCGGGUGCUAACGUCCGUCGUGAAGAGGGAAACAACCCAGACCGCCAGCUAAGGUCCCAAAGUCAUGGUUAAGUGGGAAACGAUGUGGGAAGGCCCAGACAGCCAGGAUGUUGGCUUAGAAGCAGCCAUCAUUUAAAGAAAGCGUAAUAGCUCACUGGUCGAGUCGGCCUGCGCGGAAGAUGUAACGGGGCUAAACCAUGCACCGAAGCUGCGGCAGCGACACUAUGUGUUGUUGGGUAGGGGAGCGUUCUGUAAGCCUGCGAAGGUGUGCUGUGAGGCAUGCUGGAGGUAUCAGAAGUGCGAAUGCUGACAUAAGUAACGAUAAAGCGGGUGAAAAGCCCGCUCGCCGGAAGACCAAGGGUUCCUGUCCAACGUUAAUCGGGGCAGGGUGAGUCGACCCCUAAGGCGAGGCCGAAAGGCGUAGUCGAUGGGAAACAGGUUAAUAUUCCUGUACUUGGUGUUACUGCGAAGGGGGGACGGAGAAGGCUAGGUCGGCCGGGCGACGGUUGUCCCGGUUUACGCGUGUAGGCUGACUUUCCAGGCAAAUCCGGAAGGUUAAGGC